This 978-nucleotide ribosomal RNA is filed under the name Triticum aestivum (bread wheat). RNAcentral's name for it is "partial small subunit ribosomal RNA". Lineage: Eukaryota; Viridiplantae; Streptophyta; Magnoliopsida; Poales; Poaceae. The record is from RNAcentral.
AUGAAAUUGUUUUGCGAGAAAAGAAAAUUUUCAAUCGCAAAUCAGUACUGUUGUGCGAGAAAACUUAAUUUCAAUCGCAAAACAAUGCCGUUGUACAGUAAUAUCUUGAUGGGAAAACUGAAAAACAACGAAGAGAUAAGCACCAUCGGCUUUCUCUGUGUGGUUACGAAUCAAAGAUUCGUUUUGGCUUUGUACACCACUACACCGCCGGUACGUAGAGUACGUUGGCGCCGGGUCAUUGCUCCGGCCGUGGUGAGCCGGUGGAAGCCGGGGAAGAUGCUGCGGGCGAUGCCGGAGGGGUCACGCUGCCGCUGCGGCCAUGCAGGAUGGAGCAGUCACUCCAAACGCCGGUCGUUGGCCGAGAUGUGCUCGCGCCGUGCACUGGCCUGCCGGAGGCAGUAUCGCCUUUGCGCCUCGAGGUUGAGACCGGGGAGCGUAGCCGGUGCGCCCCGCGAGAAUGAGCCCGCUGCGCCAUGGCCGAGCGGAGAGAACCGCAUCGGCCGCUGGCCGCUUGUGCCAUCGGGCUGCGAGCCGCGCCGGAGGAGAGCUGCGUGCUGCGCGCUGCGCCGCGAACGGUUGGGAACGACGCGCUAUGGUCGCUGGCCGCUGUCUCCACAUCGGAGCCGUGGGCCACAGCCGCCUCCUCCUUGGUUUGGUUGUCUCCAGACGCCGGCCGAGGCCGCGCCGUCUGAGCACUUCACCUCACGGCGAACGGGACGCCGCGGGGUCGAGGCCGCGUCAGAACCGAGGGCUGCAAGCGCACUGGGCACCGCCUCCCCGCCGGUGGAGGGCUGCGGCGUCGCGUGCCAGUUGAUGGCCACCGCCGCCUCGCAGUAUGCAUGUGAGAAACACGCGGCCAGCCACAUGUGCCGGUGCCGACGACCUUGCCAGGGUCAAUGGUCGCGCUGCACCGGAGGGCGCCGUGCAUCACCGAGCCCACUGGAGUGCGCUGUGUCCAAAUCCGCUGAUGCGCGGUGA